Molecule: ribosomal RNA, 879 nt
Filed under: uncultured bacterium
Lineage: Bacteria
Description: bacterial SSU rRNA
Rfam family: Bacterial small subunit ribosomal RNA
Source: RNAcentral
CUAGAUUUCAUAGUUUGAUCCUGGCUCAGAUUGAACGCUGGCGGCAUGCCUUACACAUGCAAGUCGAACGGCAGCGCGGACUUCGGUCUGGCGGCGAGUGGCGAACGGGUGAGUAAUACAUCGGAACGUACCCUGUUGUGGGGGAUAACUAGUCGAAAGAUUAGCUAAUACCGCAUACGACCUGAGGGUGAAAGCGGGGGACCGAAAGGCCUCGCGCAGCAGGAGCGGCCGAUGUCUGAUUAGCUAGUUGGUGGGGUAAAGGCCCACCAAGGCGACGAUCAGUAGCUGGUCUGAGAGGACGAUCAGCCACACUGGGACUGAGACACGGCCCAGACUCCUACGGGAGGCAGCAGUGGGGAAUUUUGGACAAUGGGGGCAACCCUGAUCCAGCAAUGCCGCGUGUGUGAAGAAGGCCUUCGGGUUGUAAAGCACUUUUGUCCGGAAAGAAAUUGCUCUGGCUAAUACCUGGGGUAGAUGACGGUACCGGAAGAAUAAGCACCGGCUAACUACGUGCCAGCAGCCGCGGUAAUACGUAGGGUGCGAGCGUUAAUCGGAAUUACUGGGCGUAAAGCGUGCGCAGGCGGUUUUGUAAGACAGGCGUGAAAUCCCCGGGCUCAACCUGGGAAUUGCGCUUGUGACUGCAAGGCUAGAGUGCGUCAAGGGGGGUAAAUUCCCGUGUACAGUGAAAUGCGUAAGAUGUGGAGGAUACCGAUGGCGAAGCAGCCCCUGGGACGUGACUGACGCUCAUGCCCGAAGCGUGGGGAGCAAAAGAUUAAAUACCCUGUAGUCCACCCCUAAACGAUGUCACUAGUGUGGGAUCAUUUCUCAUAACGUACUACGGGGAGUGACGCUGGGGAGUCGGCCAGAUAAACUCAGGAU